RNAcentral lists this ribosomal RNA (240 nucleotides) under uncultured bacterium. Its description in RNAcentral is "partial 16S rRNA". It matches the Rfam family "Bacterial small subunit ribosomal RNA", at positions 505 to 745 of the family's 1533-position model. The record is from RNAcentral.
GUGUCAGCAGCCGCGGUAAUACGUAGGUGGCAAGCGUUAUCCGGAAUUAUUGGGCGUAAAGCGCGCGCAGGGGUUUCGUAAGACAGACGUGAAAUCCCCGGGCUCAACCUGGGAACUGCGUUUGUGACUGCGAGGCUAGAGUACGGCAGAGGGGGGUAGAAUUCCACGUGUAGCAGUGAAAUGCGUAGACAUGAGGAGGAAUACCGAUGGCGAAGGCAGCCCCCUGGGUUAGUACUGACG